CCAUUUAUUGAGCCAUGCCCCAUUUUCCCAUGUAAUAUCGCGCGCGUCUCUUUUUCCAACUGCCACUUUUAUGCCUGUGCCCGUAGAUAUUGAGAUGAAAAUACAGAAAAGUGCUUUUAAUUAAAAAAAAACAACAACAUUUAUUUCCAGGAAGCCAUGAAGAGGAAAAACUUCAAAAGGCACGCAAGGAGCACGUACAGAARCUCAUCCAAGARCURACCAAGCUAUCCAUUGAGGAAGAAGAGAAGACAAGGAAAAGAUACCAGGAAUCGGACGACCCAAAGAAACGAGAUUGUAAAGACUUGAAAGUGAAGUGUCAGAUGAUGAAAUGGAUUAGAGGAUGUGAAAAUGAUGAAAUGAGAGAGAUGUGCAAGGCAACAUGCGGUCUGUGUUAAUACAGAUGCCGGCAACCAUCCAGGAUAAGUUGAAGAUGAUUCGAGCCUAGUAUAUAACUGUUCACUUGUGAAAUAAUCUCCUUCAUGGUUCCCUUUGCCAUCUUGAAAUGUAAAACGGUGCCUUUUUAUCGAACGGAGACGACCGUCUAGACCAUUGAGCGUGCGAUGAUGCAAGUUUUCUAUCGUUGCACACUCAGAGGUCGUCUUCCCUCGAUCAAAGCCACGGCUACCUUUAGUUAGAUUAUGAAAGCGGAACCGUGAAGGAGACUAAUGUUGACAACUGCAUUUUGUGCCUUUAUUGAAUAAACGUCUUUUUCCUGGAAA
Molecule: long non-coding RNA, 719 nt
Organism: Exaiptasia diaphana
Lineage: Eukaryota; Metazoa; Cnidaria; Anthozoa; Actiniaria; Aiptasiidae
Exons: 2
Source: RefSeq, a predicted model, not a curated record